UCGGAUAUGGUGUAACGGCUAACAUUGCCGCCUCUCAUCACGUGAUCGUUGCGCGGCAGCUCGGGGUUCGAUUCCCCGUAUCCGAA
Coprinopsis sp. MPI-PUGE-AT-0042 is the source of this 86-nucleotide non-coding RNA. The record is from the annotation of a GenBank genome assembly. NCBI's taxonomy places the organism in Eukaryota, Fungi, Basidiomycota, Agaricomycetes, Agaricales, Psathyrellaceae.